Centruroides sculpturatus (bark scorpion) is the source of this 904-nucleotide long non-coding RNA. RefSeq lists it as uncharacterized. Lineage: Eukaryota; Metazoa; Arthropoda; Arachnida; Scorpiones; Buthidae. The transcript has 3 exons. The record is from RefSeq and is a predicted model, not a curated record.
AGACGACUAACAGAAAACGUUAAGAAGUGAUCAUGAAAACAUUACUACUGUUAAACCUGCUAAUAGGAAUUUAUUCAUCUCAAGCUUAUAAUUAUUACAGAAACAAUAACAGGAAUGUUAUAUUAAAUGAUUUUGUUUCCUCAUACAGGGAAAAUUAUCUACCAUUCGAAAAUAGAGACUACAUAACAUCAAACCUAAGAGUUCGUGAAUAUGCUGACGAAGCGAAUAAUUCUAAGAUUGAUAAAGAGAAGAUAGAUGAAAUGAAGAACAUAAUUGAAAAAUAUUUAGAAGCUAUAAGACAGUUAUAUAGAAGUAUAAUGGAAGCCACCGAAGAGUAAAUAUCUCAUUCAAAAUUUUUAAAAAAAUCAUCCAUUUGUUUUGCCGUAUAUUACGAAACAAUAAAAUCAUUAUGACGAGUUUACGAGUUAAAAUAUGAUAUGAAUAAGGAAUUUCGCUUGAGUUUUACAAGAGGAAUACUCGGAUUUAUUGAGAAUUCCUGCAUAUUUCUGUUAUUUAAGUGUGUUAUAAAAUAUUCAAUAAAUUUUAAAUGCAUUAAAAUGUUAAUAAAAUAUAAUUAUAUAUAAUUUAAUAAAUUUUUAUUACAUUAACCGAAAUUUAGUGUAAUUUAAUUGAUUCUUCUCAUGAGAAAAUGUUGUCAAAACUCGAUUUUCUGAAAAUUUUUCGGUUUGUUUUAUUAAAAAAUUAUGGAAUAUAUUAAAGAAUACAUUUACGAUAUGAAUAAUUUAACAGUUAUUUUAUAAUGUCUGAAUAUUAAAAUAAGCAUGAAAUCCAAAUGAUUAUUAUGCACAAAUGUGCCCAGUCUACAUGAGGCACUCAGGAAUGUACACUUAAAAAAGACACGUGAAAUAAAAGUUGCACAUGUAGUUUAUGCAAAUUAGUUACA